UACGUAGGGGGCGAGCGUUGUCCGGAGUUACUGGGCGUAAAGGGCAUGCAGGCGGUCCGACGCGUUUUGGGUGACAGCGGGUGGCUUCACUACCCGAGCAUGCGAAAGACGGUUGGACUUGAGGACUCGAGAGGGACACGGAAUUCCGGGUGGAGUGGUGAAAUGCGUAGAGAUCCGGAGGAACACCGAAGGCGAAGGCAGUGUCCUGGCGAGUGACUGACGCUGAGGUGCGAAAGCCAGGGGAGCAAACGGG
This 253-nucleotide ribosomal RNA is filed under the name uncultured bacterium. Its description in RNAcentral is "partial 16S ribosomal RNA". It matches the Rfam family "Bacterial small subunit ribosomal RNA", at positions 524 to 776 of the family's 1533-position model. The record is from RNAcentral.